RNAcentral lists this small RNA (907 nucleotides) under Pongo abelii (Sumatran orangutan). RNAcentral's name for it is "processed transcript". The record is from RNAcentral. Lineage: Eukaryota; Metazoa; Chordata; Mammalia; Primates; Hominidae.
CUUUCUCUCUCCUCCCGCCGCCCAAGAUGGUGAGUGAGUCCUAGUUUCGUGGCACUAUAGCCGGGUUCCGGCUGUAUCCGCUGCCAUCCUCCCCCAGGCACGGCCUCGGAGGACUUCCUGCUCCGCCUGGCGCUAGGAGAGCCCCACUCGGUGUGGCACGGAGACAUUGAGAUGGACUAGAGCCCCGGGCGGCCGGGAGCGGAAUGCAUUGUUCCCGGUGUCGCAGGGCUGGGGGAGAAGGGCCUGGAGCGCCGCGGUGCGGGGCUCGGAAGCCCUAGCGUCUCCCGGGCUUCCUGGGGGCCGCUGCCGAGGCCUUCCGAAAGGAAAGAAGGCCAAGGGAAAGAAGGUGGCUCCGGCCCCUGCUGUCGUGAAGAAGCAGGAGGCUAAGAAAGUGGUGAAUCCCCUGUUUGAGAAAAGGCCUAAGAAUUUUGGCAUUGGACAGGACAUCCAGCCCAAAAGAGACCUCACCCGCUUUGUGAAAUGGCCCCGCUAUAUCAGGUUGCAGCGGCAGAGAGCCAUCCUCUAUAAGCGGCUGAAAGUGCCUCCUGCGAUUAACCAGUUCACCCAGGCCCUGGACCGCCAAACAGCUACUCAGCUGCUUAAGCUGGCCCACAAGUACAGACCAGAGACAAAGCAAGAGAAGAAGCAGAGACUGUUGGCCCGGGCCGAGAAGAAAGCUGCUGGCAAAGGGGACGUCCCCACGAAGAGACCACCUGUCCUUCGAGCAGGAGUUAACACCGUCACCACCUUGGUGGAGAACAAGAAAGCUCAGCUGGUGGUGAUUGCACACGACGUGGAUCCCAUCGAGCUGGUUGUCUUCUUGCCUGCCCUGUGUCGUAAAAUGGGGGUCCCUUACUGCAUUAUCAAGGGGAAGGCAAGACUGGGACGUCUAGUCCACAGGAAGACU